UACGUAGGGUGCAAGCGUUAAUCGGAAUUACUGGGCGUAAAGCGUGCGCAGGCGGUUUUGUAAGCCCGAUGUGAAAUCCCCGGGCUUAACCUGGGAACUGCAUUGGUGACUGCAAGGCUUGAGUGUGUCAGAGGGAGGUGGAAUUCCGCGUGUAGCAGUGAAAUGCGUAGAUAUGCGGAGGAACACCGAUGGCGAAGGCAGCCUCCUGGGAUAACACUGACGCUCAUGCACGAAAGCGUGGGGAGCAAACAGG
RNAcentral lists this ribosomal RNA (253 nucleotides) under uncultured bacterium. RNAcentral's name for it is "partial 16S ribosomal RNA". It matches the Rfam family "Bacterial small subunit ribosomal RNA", at positions 524 to 776 of the family's 1533-position model. The record is from RNAcentral.